AACGAGGCCGACCUGCGGCUGAGUUACCUGCGGAAGGAUCAUUACAAGUGACCCCGGUCUAACCACCGGGAUGUUCAUAACCCUUUGUUGUCCGACUCUGUUGCCUCCGGGGCGACCCUGCCUUCGGGCGGGGGCUCCGGGUGGACACUUCAAACUCUUGCGUAACUUUGCAGUCUGAGUAAACUUAAUUAAUAAAUUAAAACUUUUAACAACGGAUCU
This 219-nucleotide unclassified non-coding RNA is filed under the name soil metagenome. RNAcentral describes it as "partial contains 5.8S ribosomal RNA, internal transcribed spacer 2, and large subunit ribosomal RNA". The record is from RNAcentral.